Molecule: long non-coding RNA, 862 nt
Organism: Oncorhynchus tshawytscha (Chinook salmon)
Lineage: Eukaryota; Metazoa; Chordata; Actinopteri; Salmoniformes; Salmonidae
Exons: 4
Source: RefSeq, a predicted model, not a curated record
AAGGGUUAACUCAGUAGUUGUGUGAAGGUCCCUUCUGCUACUUGACUGAAUUCAUUCUCGACUUCUAGUCUGUUGCUGUUCCUUGUGAGGCAAUACAGGUCUUCAUUGGUCAGUCUGUUGCUAUCCUUGUGAGGCAAUACAGGUCUUCAUUGGUCAGUCUGUUGCUAUCCUUGUGAGGCAAUACAGGUCUUCAUUGGUCAGUCUGUUGCUAUCCUUGUGAGGCAAUACAGGUCUUCAUUGGUCAGUCUGUUGCUAUCCUUGUGAGGCAAUACAGGUCUUCAUUGGUCAGUCUGUUGCUAUCCUUGUGAGGCAAUACAGGUCUUCAUUGGUCAGUCUGUUGCUAUCCUUGUGAGGCAAUACAGGUCUUCAUUGGUCAGUCUGUUGCUAUCCUUGUGAGGCAAUACAGGUCUUCAUUGGUCAGUCUGUUGCUAUCCUUGUGAGGCAAUACAGGUCUUCAUUGGUCAGUCUGUUGCUAUCCUUGUGAGGCAAUACAGGUCUUCAUUGGUCAGUCUGUUGCUAUCCUUGUGAGGCAAUACAGGUCUUCAUUGGUCAGUCUGUUGCUAUCCUUGUGAGGCAAUACAGGUCUUCAUUGGUCAGUCUGUUGCUAUCCUUGUGAGGCAAUACAGGUCUUCAUUGGUCAGUCUGUUGCUAUCCUUGUGAGGCAAUACAGGUCUUCAUUGGUCAGUCUGUUGCUAUCCUUGUGAGGCAAUACAGGUCUUCAUUGGUCAGUCUGUUGCUAUCCUUGUGAGGCAAUACAGGUCUUCAUUGGUCAGUCUGUUGCUAUCCUUGUGAGGCAAUACAGGUCUUCAUUGGUCAGUCUGUUGCUAUCCUUGUGAGGCAAUACAGGUCUUCAUUGGUCAGU